Molecule: ribosomal RNA, 497 nt
Filed under: uncultured bacterium
Lineage: Bacteria
Description: partial 16S ribosomal RNA
Rfam family: Bacterial small subunit ribosomal RNA
Source: RNAcentral
GACGAACGCUGGCGGCGUGCCUAAUACAUGCAAGUAGAACGCUGAAGAGAGGAGCUUGCUCUUCUUGGAUGAGUUGCGAACGGGUGAGUAACGCGUAGGUAACCUGCCUUGUAGCGGGGGAUAACUAUUGGAAACGAUAGCUAAUACCGCAUAACAAUGGAUGACACAUGUCAUUUAUUUGAAAGGGGCAAUUGCUCCACUACAAGGUGGACCUGCGUUGUAUUAGCUAGUAGGUGAGGUAAUGGCUCACCUAGGCGACGAUACAUAGCCGACCUGAGAGGGUGAUCGGCCGCACUGGGACUGAGACACGGCCCAGACUCCUACGGGAGGCAGCAGUAGGGAAUCUUCGGCAAGGGGGGCAACCCUGACCGCGCAACGCCGCGUGAGUGAAGAAGGUUUUCGGAUCGUAAAGCUCGGUUGUAAGUCAAGAACGGGUGUGAGAGUGGAAAGUUCACACUGUGACGGUAGCUGACCAGAAAGGGACGGCUAACUACGUG